This is a long non-coding RNA of Rattus norvegicus (Norway rat), 1662 nucleotides long. RefSeq lists it as uncharacterized. The record is from RefSeq and is a predicted model, not a curated record. Lineage: Eukaryota; Metazoa; Chordata; Mammalia; Rodentia; Muridae.
ACCAAACUGAAAAUCCUGCUUCCCUCCCAUAACUCCUGUCAGCUUGUUAAGUGUUUCUGUUUAUACAAGCUCCAGAAUGAGCAUUGGUCUCUCAGGUUCUGACAAGACCCUGGCCUCCUAAGCUUGCUUUCCAGGGAAUCUCAGCAAACCACAAGAAGAAUCACUCUUCUUCCUUCUUUACCCAGUAUUUUGUUUUUAAAUACAAGACAAUUAACUGUUUCUCUUGAUGUUGAAAUGUUUUCUCUUGCAGAUCCCCCAGCGGCAGAGAGUUUAGCUGGGAAUACAGCUCUGGGACAAGGGGAGGCACACCCAGCCCGGCUCACUUCUGACCCUUUGCUGAACUCAGUCUUGCCCUUGCCCAAAUCAAGGGCUAAGCCAGAACUCAUUGUCAGCACAACCGUGUAGAGAGGAAGACUGCAGCUGGUCUAACUGCUAAGAAGUCUCUUGCCCUCAAAGCUCUGAAGCACCAACGCCUGAAUCCUUCCCUAGAAACAUGGACCCUCCUCUCAGGCCCAGUCAUGCCCACUGCCCAAGUCCAGCAACGAAGAGAAAGAGCUUGUUGUUCAUCGCCAAGUACCACUGAGAAGAGGAUGCUAGGAGACUUGCCUAUUGAGUGAGGGCUUCUCUCUCACAUGUCCUCAGCCUUCCUGUGUUGGAUGAGUCCAUGGAGUUCUGCAUAGGCUGAGUGAUUGUGUGCACAGGGCCUGACCCAUCAAAGAGCUAUGUUGUUCCUGCUGUUGUUGCUACGUCAGAGGCGAUGGAAGCUGAGUAGUCAAGGCCAUAGGGGGGAAAUGUCAUCAAGAUAGAAGUCAUCAUGUUUUAUGAACCAAAGACCCAUCAUGUGCACCCGGCCUAUCAUAUUGCAUAAUCCUGCUCACAUCACGGGAAUGGGACUUGUGGAGGGAAGCACACAACAGCCUUGCUUAUGGAAUGCCUACCCCUGGCCAAGCACAAGGGUGGAAUCUAAGGAUCAAAGCCAACACAGAAGAAACAACAGUGACACAUCUCAAAGACGUCCUGCUUGCUGAUGUGGCUGGAAUCACAGACGGAGAGAGAUGUGUGGACUACAGCCAUGAGGAGAGGCAUGCCAAGGAAGGUUGAGCUUAUACUAUCCACAAUGGCUACGUUCCGCAAUGCAAACGCUAAUAAAAAAAAUAUUCUGAGCACAGAGACAUGCUCAGAGGGCAGUGAAGCUCCUCUGUAUGAUACCAUAAAGGUGACUUUAGAUCCUUAUGCCCCAUCCAAAACCACAGAAUGCACAGCUUCAAGUCCAUGUAAACUGUGGGUGUCAAGCAACGAGGCUGGGCCAAUGUGGGCUCAGGGAUUGAAAAAGAAAUGUAUCACAUUGGUGGGUGAGGUUGAUACGGUGCACUGGAGCAUGGAACAUGGUAACAUUUGCUGCCCAACUUUACCGUGAGUCUAGAAAGUCUCUAAAAGUAGUCUAUUCAAAUACGGAGAAAGGAUGAGCUGAUUGGGGGUGUUAAUUAGAAAUGUAUGUUGAGAAAGAAACUAGAACGUCUGUCUAUCAGUAACAGUGGCUUGUGCCCAAGGUGGAAUAGAGGUGGAGGUGAAGAAGAUCCACAUCCCCAGGGCAAAGAGACCUGGGUCCAUUCCCCACUGCACUGAGGGCACAGUGCAAUAAACAUCAUUAUUGCUGUUCAA